GGAAGCUGAAGAAGGUGAAAAGAGAGGGGAGGAGGAAGGAGGAAGGUUUGCGUUGACAUUGCUAACUGAGACAAAUGAAAGAAGAGGUGACACAGCUCGUUAGCUGCAUUUCUUCUGAAGGCGUACCAGGUGUUCCGUGUGCACUGAGAUGGAAUGCAAAUCAGACCACAUGAACAGCACAAGAGCUGCAGAAGAGGAGGCAGGGGAGGGACUGAGCUGGCAUAGUCAACAGUGUCAUUGUUGGAGGAUUGGAG
This is a long non-coding RNA of Mus musculus (house mouse), 254 nucleotides long. RefSeq annotates it as predicted gene, 54105. NCBI's taxonomy places the organism in Eukaryota, Metazoa, Chordata, Mammalia, Rodentia, Muridae. The record is from RefSeq and is a predicted model, not a curated record. The transcript has 3 exons.